UUGUUGCGGUUAAAACGUUCGUAGUUGAACUUGUGUCCCACACGGGUAAUUGGCCCACUUACGGGUUCUUAUUACUUGCCGGCUUGCUGGCUUUAGUGUGCGGACGUUUUACCGGUGAGGGAAACGGUGUAGUUUCGGCUGCAAUACGCCCCUUAUUUAUUUCAUAAACCCGUCUUGGUGCUUUUAAUCGAGUGCCAAUGUGGGCCGGUACUAUUACUUUGAACAAAUUAGAGUGCUUAAAGCAGGCUAAAUUUAAUGAAAGUUAAAACGCCUGAAUAUAUUUUGCAUGGAAUAAUGGAAUAGGACCUCUGUUCUACUUUCAUUGGUUUUUAGACCAAGAGGUAAUGAUUAAUAGAAGCAGUUGGGGGCAUUAGUAUUACGAGGCGAGAGGUGAAAUUCGUAGACCCUCGUAAGACUAACUUAAGCGAAAGCAUUUGCCAAGGAUGUUUUCAUUAAUCAAGAACGAAAGUUAGAGGAUCGAAGGCGAUCAGAUACCGCCCUAGUUCUAACCAUAAACGAUGCCAGCUAGCAAUUGUAUGUAGCUACUAAUUUUGGUUCAUACAGUCGCUUUCCGGGAAACCAAAGCUUUUGGGCUCCGGGGGAAGUAUGGUUGCAAAGCUGAAACUUAAAGG
RNAcentral lists this ribosomal RNA (632 nucleotides) under uncultured eukaryote. Its description in RNAcentral is "SSU rRNA". It matches the Rfam family "Eukaryotic small subunit ribosomal RNA", at positions 610 to 1150 of the family's 1831-position model. The record is from RNAcentral.